This 497-nucleotide ribosomal RNA is filed under the name uncultured bacterium. RNAcentral describes it as "partial 16S ribosomal RNA". It matches the Rfam family "Bacterial small subunit ribosomal RNA", at positions 28 to 507 of the family's 1533-position model. The record is from RNAcentral.
GAUGAACGCUGGCGGCGUGCCUAAUACAUGCAAGUCGAGCGAACAGAUGAGGAGCUUGCUCCUCUGACGUUAGCGGCGGACGGGUGAGUAACACGUGGAUAACCUACCUAUAAGACUGGGAUAACUUCGGGAAACCGGAGCUAAUACCGGAUAAUAUAUUGAACCGCAUGGUUCAAUAGUGAAAGACGGUUUUGCUGUCACUUAUAGAUGGAUCCGCGCCGCAUUAGCUAGUUGGUAAGGUAACGGCUUACCAAGGCGACGAUGCGUAGCCGACCUGAGAGGGUGAUCGGCCACACUGGAACGGAGACACGGUCCAGACUCCUACGGGAGGCAGCAGUAGGGAAUCUUCCGCAAUGGGCGAAAGCCUGACGGAGCAACGCCGCGUGAGUGAUGAAGGUCUUCGGAUCGUAAAACUCUGUUAUUAGGGAAGAACAAAUGUGUAAGUACCUAUGCACGUCUUGACGGUACCUAAUCAGAAAGCCACGGCUAACUACGUG